Molecule: long non-coding RNA, 1134 nt
Filed under: Felis catus (domestic cat)
Lineage: Eukaryota; Metazoa; Chordata; Mammalia; Carnivora; Felidae
Description: lncRNA (ENSFCAG00000053349.1)
Source: RNAcentral
AUGGAGGAGGCUACACUCCAGAGAGAUUUCCCGAAGAGUCUACACCGCAACCAAGAUUUCAAACGUAUUAAAGAAACGGCCUCCGGCUCGGCCACAUUUAGCGGGAAGUCGCGGGCUGCUUUGGAAGAGGCCCCACCGCCUCCCCAAGGGCCCGAGCCCCCCACAUCUGCCCCAGGCGCCGAGCCGAAAGUGCCCCCGAGAACUAGGCCAGCGGCCGCACCGAGCCCUCCAAGCAUUCCGCGCCCCGCCCCGCCCGUGUCACCGCGUUCUCAUUCCGAACGCUCGGCCCGGGCGGCCGCUCCCAUUGGUCGGCGGCCACGUCCGUCAGCGGGCGGAACGUCGGCGCAGAGAAAAGGCUACAUUGUAACAAGGCGAGCGAGCGAGGAGCGAGCGGGGAGGAAGGAGGCGGAGGGGCGGCCCCCGAAUCCCGCAGCAGCGGCGGCGGCGGCGGCGGCGGCGGCGGCGGCAGCUACCUGCCGAGGGUUAACCCACCUCGGGGCCGGGACGAGCCGCCCCCCCCUCCGGCCCGCGCCCGCGCCGCCCGGGCCCCCCGCUCCUCCCGCGCGGGCCCCCGGCCGCCCGCGCCCCCCGCAGCCGCUCGCAGCCCCUGCACCGGCGGCCCCCGCGCUCGCUGGCAAACUGCCGAGCGCUUUCCGAAGCCAUUUUCAAUGGCCACAUUGGCUACCGGGGCUGACUCACCUUCCCGGGAAUGCUGCGGCAGCCGCGGGGCCCGGGCGGCGCGGGCGGCCCGGCGGGCGGCUCGGCGGAGGCGGCGCGGCCCCGGCUGGCGGCCCCCGCGGCGGGAGCGGCCGCGCUGCGGGCGCGCUGGUCCCCGGCGAGGCAAAGUUUCAGCGCCAGCCUCGGCGCGGCGGCGGCGGCGACUCGCUGCUGCUCUCCUCCCCUGCUUUGACCACCAUCUUAUUAGUACAGGAAAUGACAUGGAAAACGGAAGAAAGCGGCGUUUGGGGCAGACGCGGACCCCCCAAUUCAGGGGCCGGAGCCGGGACUCACCAGCCGCGUCCCAACCCGGCCCCGGAGAAAAACUCCCGGGGCCCCUUCGGCCCCCGCCCCGCGGGCUGCUCGGAGGGGGGAACCCAGCUCCUCGAACCCAAAAGGAGAGGGCGAGUUUUAUAA